Molecule: ribosomal RNA, 434 nt
Filed under: uncultured bacterium
Lineage: Bacteria
Description: bacterial SSU rRNA
Rfam family: Bacterial small subunit ribosomal RNA
Source: RNAcentral
UGGGGAAUCUUGGACAAUGGGCGCAAGCCUGAUCCAGCCAUGCCGCGUGAGUGAAGAAGGCCUUCGGGUUGUAAAGCUCUUUUGGCGGGGACGAUAAUGACGGUACCCGCAGAAUAAGCCCCGGCUAACUUCGUGCCAGCAGCCGCGGUAAUACGAAGGGGGCUAGCGUUGUUCGGAAUCACUGGGCGUAAAGCGCACGUAGGCGGAUUUGUUAGUCAGGGGUGAAAUCCCGGGGCUCAACCUCGGAACUGCCCUUGAUACUGCAAAUCUCGAGUCCGAUAGAGGUGAGUGGAAUUCCUAGUGUAGAGGUGAAAUUCGUAGAUAUUAGGAAGAACACCAGUGGCGAAGGCGGCUCACUGGAUCGGUACUGACGCUGAGGUGCGAAAGCGUGGGGAGCAAACAGGAUUAGAUACCCAUGUAGUCCCUGAGCGGGC